CCCUUCUCCAGAGCGCCGUCGACCCCACGCCACGCAGAGGUGAAGAUACGCAGGACGUCCUCUAAAGCAACUUCCGUGGGUGCCAGGUUGUGGGCUGGGGGCGGUGCUGACCUUGAGAGAGCGGAGGAGGCGCAGGCGCAGCACAGUUUAAACUUGAUUUUGUGAGGGGACGAACAGCGUGACAAUUAAAAGAAGAUCUGGGAAUCAUCCAAUGUGAUAAUUUAUGUGAAAUCUUUCUGCAAACUAUACAGUAUGAUAAAAAUAUAAGGUAGUUUCACUGGAAACAACAGAAGACUAGAAGCUGAUGUGACGUGGCAAUAUCAACCAGGAAUACCCAUCUCGAGUUCUGGAUAUGUGCUCUGAGAAGGUGCCCAUGUCACCGACCACACUGGAGGCCAAUGCAGAUACUGGGGGAAGGUUCCAUGGUAGCUAAGUGUGGACAAGCUAAUCACUGAAGUUCCCUGAUGCAGAGUUGAUAAUCUCUCUAGAGUUGGAUGAAAGACUGUGCUGCCUUGAAGCUCUGAGAGAUGCCAUGCCAAUUCAAGGCAGGGUCUUUAUUGUUGAAACUCUUGCGUAAUGACAUCUUUAUUCAGGUGAAAAUACAGGAUGAAUUUCAACUAUAUGAUAUUGUUUAUGUUCCUCAGACAUGUUAUUUGUCUUUACAAAGAUUGGUUUCAAUAAACUGUGUGACUGAUAUUAAAUAAACAUGGAAUUUUACACAUUCAUAAUAAAAAAAAAA
Molecule: long non-coding RNA, 739 nt
Filed under: Homo sapiens (human)
Lineage: Eukaryota; Metazoa; Chordata; Mammalia; Primates; Hominidae
Description: TMEM161B divergent transcript (TMEM161B-DT)
Source: RNAcentral